UGCAGUGAGGGUAUGGAAGAGCCUGUGUGUUAAGUGUUCAUCAGCCUGAUAGUCUGAGGGAAGAAACUUUCCUUUAGCCGGCUGGUGCGUAACCAGAUGCUGCGGAACCAUCUGCCUGAGGGUAGCAGACGGUUUUGUCUGUAUAAUUGUACAUGUUAAACUAAUUUAAAUUAGAAGUCCACUAAAUGUUCAUUAACUAAAGUCACAGCAAAAGGUGCUACAAUUAAAGUAGAAAUGCCAAAGUUCCACUGCUUUUUCUGUGACAGCUGUAGGGCUCGUCAGGGGAUUGAACCCAGGACCUUUCACAUCCUAAGCAAGAAUCAUACCCCUUGACCAACGAGCCCUGAAGAAAGACCCUGCUGUGCCAAAAAAAAUUCUUACUUUUUUAUAAAUACUUUUUGUUCUUGUUGUUUUUAGUAUGUGCCACCUGGGUUGUCUUUGAUGCAGUCCCUUUUAAGUUGGCUGUGCAGCACAAUCCACAAUAGCGAUCUGCUAAAAAGAUUCAGAGUGAGCUUCUGUUUAGAAUACAGUUAAAAGCAUCAGUCUGCAAUAUUAGAAAACCAGUAAAACAACUCAGGUGGACCUCUGGAAAAGCCAGGCUAUUUGCUUUAUACGAGCUUACAUGUCCUACAAAUUUAUUAAUAGGACAUACCCUAUUAAUAAACCGCCAUGUUGUGAAAUCGAAACCAAAGCAUCCAGUAAAAAUUCAUGUCUGGGGAGCCAUAUUCCAUCAGGGACCUGGACCGCUAGUUGUGUUAGAAGGAAUUAUGGACAGAUGUUUUUACGAAGACGCUAUAAUAAAAUUCAAUCAGGCUCCAUACGUAAAACAACACUUAAAGAACCAUAUCAAUUCUUCCAAGGUGUAUCCAAAAAAUCCACUUAAUGGGAGGCUCGCCAGUCCAACUCCACAAUUAGACAAUCACCGAUGGAAGUUGAGACAAUCCAAAUCCAGAAAAGAGUUCACACUUCAAUUAAUUUGAAUGCAGAGCAGAUCACAUUCAGCAACUGACUUCAAUAGAACAUCUCACCGAUGAAAAACCAGAAGAAGAUGCACAAGCAAACAAACAAAGGGGAGAAAAAAAACC
Danio rerio (zebrafish) is the source of this 1085-nucleotide non-coding RNA. The record is from RefSeq and is a predicted model, not a curated record. Lineage: Eukaryota; Metazoa; Chordata; Actinopteri; Cypriniformes; Danionidae.